This 97-nucleotide ribosomal RNA is filed under the name uncultured bacterium. RNAcentral's name for it is "partial 16S ribosomal RNA". It matches the Rfam family "Bacterial small subunit ribosomal RNA", at positions 1386 to 1482 of the family's 1533-position model. The record is from RNAcentral.
CACACCGCCCGUCACACCAUGGGAGUGGGUUGCACCAGAAGUAGCUAGUCUAACCGCAAGGGGGACGGUUAUCACGGUGUGAUUCAUGACUGGGGUG